RNAcentral lists this ribosomal RNA (253 nucleotides) under uncultured bacterium. RNAcentral's name for it is "partial 16S ribosomal RNA". It matches the Rfam family "Bacterial small subunit ribosomal RNA", at positions 524 to 776 of the family's 1533-position model. The record is from RNAcentral.
UACGUAGGGGGCAAGCGUUGUCCGGAUUCAUUGGGCGUAAAGAGCGCGCAGGCGGUCGUUCAAGUCGCGUGUGAAAGCCCCCGGCUCAACUGGGGAGGGUCACGCGAUACUGAUCGACUGGAAGGCAGGAGAGGGUAGUGGAAUUCCCGGUGUAGUGGUGAAAUGCGUAGAUAUCGGGAGGAACACCAGUGGCGAAGGCGACUACCUGGCCUGUUCUUGACGCUGAGGCGCGAAAGCUAGGGGAGCAAACGGG